Prunus avium (sweet cherry) is the source of this 548-nucleotide non-coding RNA. NCBI's taxonomy places the organism in Eukaryota, Viridiplantae, Streptophyta, Magnoliopsida, Rosales, Rosaceae. The record is from RefSeq and is a predicted model, not a curated record.
UCUUCCUCAGCUCCUAACUGUGGAACUUAGUUACAAAUUAGAACCCAAUUGAGAGAACAUGAGGAGGAGAGAAUUAGUCAUAUGCUCCUUUUCCAUUCUGUGCCUCCUGGCUCAGUCUACAUGUGAAAGCGCUUUCACUCCUACAACUGGAGAUUCUGGACCUCUCAGGCAGCAUGAUCAACUUAAGGUUAAGGAUAUACAUGAAAUGACGACAAGAUCAAGUAGAAAAAUCCAUGAAAGACGAUAUGGGAGAAUGCAUCAAGUUCAUCAUCUAAGGACUUCCCAGAAAGCAAGGGCAAUCUAUGGUGGUGCCUCUGACCUUAAGCGCCCCCGUACCAACCAUAAUGCAGCAAGCUCUGUACCAGUUAAACCCACCCUCGCUUUAUUCCUCUCGGCACUGGCCGUGCUUAUAUUUUCUUUGUAGUAAUUUUAAUUGCUUGGGUGACUUCGCAAACAUGAUUUAGGACUCAAUGUGGACGUUUUGUGACAAAACUCAUUCAUGUUAAAGGCCUCUUUUUAAAUCCAUUGCCCUAACCUGCUUCUAUCUA